UUGGUUAAGUUAGAAAGGGCGCACGGUGGAUGCCUUGGCACUAGGAGCCGAAGAAGGACGGGACUAACACCGAUAUGCUUUGGGGAGCUGUACGUAAGCGUUGAUCCAGAGAUUUCCGAAUGGGGGAACCCACUAUCUUUAGUCGGAUAGUAUCCUUACGUGAAUACAUAGCGUGAGGAAGGCAGACCCAGGGAACUGAAACAUCUAAGUACCUGGAGGAAGAGAAAGAAAAAUCGAUUUCCUGAGUAGCGGCGAGCGAAACGGAAAGAGCCCAAACCAAGAAGCUUGCUUCUUGGGGUUGUAGGACACUCUAUACGGAGUUACAAAAGAAAGUUAUAAAUGAAGCGGUCUGGAAAGGCCCGCCAAAGACGGUAACAGCCCGGUAGUUGAAAUAGCUUUCCCUCCAGAGUGGAUCCUGAGUACGGCGGAACACGUGAAAUUCCGUCGGAAUCCGGGAGGACCAUCUCCCAAGGCUAAAUACUCCCUAGUGACCGAUAGUGAACCAGUACCGUGAGGGAAAGGUGAAAAGCACCCCGGAAGGGGAGUGAAACAGUUCCUGAAACCGUGUGCCUACAAGUAGUUAGAGCCCGUUAAUGGGUGAUAGCGUGCCUUUUGUAGAAUGAACCGGCGAGUUACGAUUUGUUGCAAGGUUAAGCGGAAAAAGCGGAGCCGUAGCGAAAGCGAGUCUGAAUAGGGCGCAUAAGUAACAGGUCGUAGACCCGAAACCAGGUGAUCUACCCAUGUCCAGGAUGAAGGUAAGGUAAUACUUACUGGAGGUCCGAACCCACGCACGUUGAAAAGUGCGGGGAUGAGGUGUGGGUAGCGGAGAAAUUCCAAUCGAACUUGGAGAUAGCUGGUUCUCUCCGAAAUAGCUUUAGGGCUAGCCUCGAGGUAAAGAGUCAUGGAGGUAGAGCACUGUUUGGACUAGGGGCCCUUCUCGGGUUACCGAAUUCAGAUAAACUCCGAAUGCCAUGUACUUAUACUCGGGAGUCAGACUGCGAGUGAUAAGAUCCGUAGUCGAAAGGGAAACAGCCCAGACCACCAGUUAAGGUCCCCAAAUAUAUGUUAAGUGGAAAAGGAUGUGGGGUUGCUUAGACAACCAGGAUGUUGGCUUAGAAGCAGCCACCAUUGAAAGAGUGCGUAAUAGCUCACUGGUCGAGUGACCCCGCGCCGAAAAUGUACCGGGGCUAAACAUAUUACCGAAACUGUGGAUGAACCUCUUUGGAGGUUCGUGGUAGGAGAGCGUUCUAAGGGCGGUGAAGUCAGACCGGAAGGACUGGUGGAGCGCUUAGAAGUGAGAAUGCCGGUAUGAGUAGCGAAAGAAGGGUGAGAAUCCCUUCCACCGAAUAUCUAAGGUUUCCUGAGGAAGGCUCGUCCGCUCAGGGUUAGUCGGGACCUAAGCCGAGGCCGAUAGGCGUAGGCGAUGGACAACAGGUAGAGAUUCCUGUACCAGUGCUAAUUGUUUAACC
RNAcentral lists this ribosomal RNA (1469 nucleotides) under Listeria welshimeri. RNAcentral's name for it is "partial 23S ribosomal RNA". It matches the Rfam family "Bacterial large subunit ribosomal RNA", at positions 1 to 1463 of the family's 2925-position model. Lineage: Bacteria; Bacillati; Bacillota; Bacilli; Caryophanales; Listeriaceae. The record is from RNAcentral.